RNAcentral lists this transfer RNA (76 nucleotides) under Candidatus Pelagibacteraceae bacterium. RNAcentral describes it as "tRNA-Val". It matches the Rfam family "tRNA". Rfam says of the family: Transfer RNA (tRNA) molecules are approximately 80 nucleotides in length. Lineage: Bacteria; Pseudomonadati; Pseudomonadota; Alphaproteobacteria; Candidatus Pelagibacterales; Candidatus Pelagibacteraceae. The record is from RNAcentral.
GAUGCAUGUAGUUCAGUGGUAGAAUGCUACGUUGACAUCGUAGAGGUCGCAAGUUCAAUUCUUGCCGUGCCCACCA